UUUUCGUUUAUUUCAGAUAUUUAAAUUAAUGACCGCGAUGAAACGGCAUGGAAUCAGCACUUCUACGCCAAAUUCAGUCUAUGCGAAGAGGAUUUUUAUCUAAGAGAUCACUAUCAAUGACAAUAUUAUCACCACCAUCAUCAGCAGCACCAACAACAACAGCAA
This is a long non-coding RNA of Bradysia coprophila, 165 nucleotides long. NCBI's taxonomy places the organism in Eukaryota, Metazoa, Arthropoda, Insecta, Diptera, Sciaridae. The record is from RefSeq and is a predicted model, not a curated record.